This 66-nucleotide transfer RNA is filed under the name Monodiamesa sp. 2 CZ-2021a. RNAcentral's name for it is "tRNA-Leu". The record is from RNAcentral. Lineage: Eukaryota; Metazoa; Arthropoda; Insecta; Diptera; Chironomidae.
ACUAUUUUGGCAGAUUAGUGCAAUAAAUUUAGAAUUUAUAAAUGUAAUAAAUAAUUACAAAUAGUA